RNAcentral lists this transfer RNA (69 nucleotides) under Aldrovandia affinis. RNAcentral's name for it is "tRNA-Glu". It matches the Rfam family "tRNA". From Rfam's summary of the family: Transfer RNA (tRNA) molecules are approximately 80 nucleotides in length. Their secondary structure includes four short double-helical elements and three loops (D, anti-codon, and T loops). Further hydrogen bonds mediate the characteristic L-shaped molecular structure. tRNAs have two regions of fundamental functional importance: the anti-codon, which is responsible for specific mRNA codon recognition, and the 3' end, to which the tRNAs corresponding amino acid is attached (by aminoacyl-tRNA synthetases). tRNAs cope with the degeneracy of the genetic code in two manners: having more than one tRNA (with a specific anti-codon) for a particular amino acid; and 'wobble' base-pairing, i.e. permitting non-standard base-pairing at the 3rd anti-codon position. The record is from RNAcentral. RNAcentral also lists the same sequence under 2 other names. Lineage: Eukaryota; Metazoa; Chordata; Actinopteri; Notacanthiformes; Halosauridae.
GUUUCUAUAGUUGAAUAACAGCGGUGGUUUUUCAAGUCGUUGGUCUCGGUUAAAGUCCGGGUAGAAAUU